Molecule: ribosomal RNA, 65 nt
Filed under: Hydrogenispora ethanolica
Lineage: Bacteria; Bacillati; Bacillota
Source: RNAcentral
UUAAGCCCCUCUGCGCCAAUGGUACUUGUCGGGUAACCGGCCGGGAGAGUAGGUCUUCGCCAGGA